This 330-nucleotide ribosomal RNA is filed under the name uncultured eukaryote. RNAcentral describes it as "partial 18S ribosomal RNA". It matches the Rfam family "Eukaryotic small subunit ribosomal RNA", at positions 1470 to 1796 of the family's 1831-position model. The record is from RNAcentral.
CCCUUAGAUGUUCUGGGCCGCACGCGCGCUACACUGAUGCAUUCAACGAGUCUAAAACCUGGUCUGAUAGGGCUGGGUAAUCUUUUGAAUGUGCAUCGUGAUUGGGAUAGAUGAUUGCAAUUCUUCAUCUUCAACGAGGAAUGCCUAGUAAACGCAAGUCAUCAGCUUGCAUUGAUUACGUCCCUGCCCUUUGUACACACCGCCCGUCGCUCCUACCGAUUGAAUGUUCCGAUGAAUACCAUGGACUGAGAGUAUGAAUGGGUUCGCCUAUUUCUGCUUCUCGGGAAGUGGAGGAAAUCUUAACAUUUAGAGGAAGGAGAAGUCGUAACA